RNAcentral lists this unclassified non-coding RNA (377 nucleotides) under uncultured Gammaproteobacteria bacterium. RNAcentral describes it as "contains 16S-23S intergenic spacer region". Lineage: Bacteria; Pseudomonadati; Pseudomonadota; Gammaproteobacteria. The record is from RNAcentral.
UCCGUGUUAACCACGGCAGUCUCCUUAGAGAGCCCAACUGAAUGAUGGCAACUAAGGGCGAGGGUUGCGCUCGUUGCGGGACUUAACCCAACAUCUCACGACACGAGCUGACGACAGCCAUGCAGCACCUGUGUUACGGCUCUCUUUCGAGCACACCCGAAUCUCCCCAGGCUUCCGUACAUGUCAAGGGUAGGUAAGGUUUUUCGCGUUGCAUCGAAUUAAUCCACAUCAUCCACCGCUUGUGCGGGUCCCCGUCAAUUCCUUUGAGUUUUAAUCUUGCGACCGUACUCCCCAGGCGGUCUACUUCACGCGUUAGCUGCGUUACCAAGUCAAUUAAGACCCGACAACUAGUAGACAUCGUUUAGGGCGUGGACUAC